This 429-nucleotide ribosomal RNA is filed under the name Pseudomonadota bacterium. RNAcentral's name for it is "Proteobacteria bacterium partial 16S ribosomal RNA". It matches the Rfam family "Bacterial small subunit ribosomal RNA", at positions 355 to 776 of the family's 1533-position model. The record is from RNAcentral. Lineage: Bacteria; Pseudomonadati; Pseudomonadota.
UGGGGAAUAUUGGACAAUGGGCGAAAGCCUGAUCCAGCCAUGCCGCGUGUGUGAAGAAGGUCUUCGGAUUGUAAAGCACUUUAAGUUGGGAGGAAGGGCAGUAAGCGAAUACCUUGCUGUUUUGACGUUACCGACAGAAUAAGCACCGGCUAACUCUGUGCCAGCAGCCGCGGUAAUACAGAGGGUGCAAGCGUUAAUCGGAAUUACUGGGCGCAAAGCGCGCGUAGGUGGUUCGUUAAGUUGAAUGUGAAAGCCCCGGGCUCAACCUGGGAACUGCAUCCAAAACUGGCGAGCUAGAGUAGGGCAGAGGGUGGUGGAAUUUCCUGUGUAGCGGUGAAAUGCGUAGAUAUAGGAAGGAACACCAGUGGCGAAGGCGACCACCUGGGCUCAUACUGACACUGAGGUGCGAAAGCGUGGGGAGCAAACAGG